GGGGUUGUGGCUCAGGGGUAGAGCACUUGACUAGCAUCCAUGGGGCACUGGGUUCAAUUCUCAGCACCA
RNAcentral lists this transfer RNA (69 nucleotides) under Ictidomys tridecemlineatus (thirteen-lined ground squirrel). RNAcentral's name for it is "Spermophilus tridecemlineatus (thirteen-lined ground squirrel) tRNA". It matches the Rfam family "tRNA". From Rfam's summary of the family: Transfer RNA (tRNA) molecules are approximately 80 nucleotides in length. Their secondary structure includes four short double-helical elements and three loops (D, anti-codon, and T loops). The record is from Rfam by way of RNAcentral. Lineage: Eukaryota; Metazoa; Chordata; Mammalia; Rodentia; Sciuridae.